Schistosoma haematobium is the source of this 45-nucleotide non-coding RNA. NCBI's taxonomy places the organism in Eukaryota, Metazoa, Platyhelminthes, Trematoda, Strigeidida, Schistosomatidae. The record is from Rfam.
AUCCAGCUGACAAGUCCCAAAUAAGAUGAAACAUGCGUCCUGGAU